This 274-nucleotide ribosomal RNA is filed under the name uncultured bacterium. RNAcentral's name for it is "partial 16S ribosomal RNA". It matches the Rfam family "Bacterial small subunit ribosomal RNA", at positions 523 to 796 of the family's 1533-position model. The record is from RNAcentral.
AUACGGAGGGUGCGAGCGUUAAUCGGAAUUACUGGGCGUAAAGCGUACGUAGGCGGUUGGUUAAGUUAGAUGUGAAAGCCCCGGGCUUAACCUGGGAACUGCAUUUAAAACUGGCGAACUAGAGUUGAGUAGAGGGGAGUGGAAUUUCAGGUGUAGCGGUGAAAUGCGUAGAGAUCAGAAGGAACACCAGUGGCGAAGGCGACUCCCUGGACUCGAACUGACGCUGAGGUACGAAAGCGUGGGUAGCAAACGGGAUUAGAAUCCCUAGUAGUCC